GCAGGCGCGAAACCUUUACACUGUACGCAAGUGCGAUAAGGGGACUCCGAGUGUGAAGGCAUAGAGCCUUCACUUUUGUACACCGUAAGGUGGUGUACGAAUAAGGGCUGGGCAAGACCGGUGCCAGCCGCCGCGGUAAUACCGGCAGCCCGAGUGAUGGCCGAUAUUAUUGGGCCUAAAGCGUCCGUAGCUGGCCGGACAAGUCCGUUGGGAAAUCUGUUCGCUUAACGAGCAGGCGUCCAGCGGAAACUGUUCGGCUUGGGACCGGAAGACCUGAGGGGUACGUCCGGGGUAGGAGUGAAAUCCUGUAAUCCUGGACGGACCACCGGUGGCGAAAGCGCCUCAGGAGGACGGAUCCGACAGUGAGGGACGAAAGCUAGGGUCUCGAACCGGAUUAGAUACCCGGGUAGUCCUAGCUGUAAACGAUGCCCGCUAGGUGUGGCGCAGGCUACGAGCCUGCGCUGUGCCGUAGGGAAGCCGAGAAGCGGGCCGCCUGGGAAGUACGUCUGCAAGGAUGAAACUUAAAGGAAUUGGCGGGGGAGCACUACAACCGGAGGAGCCUGCGGUUUAAUUGGACUCAACGCCGGACAUCUCACCAGCUCCGACAGUAGUAAUGACGGUCAGGUUGAUGACCUUACCCGAUGCUACUGAGAGGAGGUGCAUGGCCGCCGUCAGCUCGUACCGUGAGGCGUCCUGUUAAGUCAGGCAACGAGCGAGACCCGCACUCCUAAUUGCCAGCAGUACCCUUUGGGUAACUUGGGUACAUUAGGUGGACUGCCGCUGCUAAAGCGGAGGAAGGAACGGGCAACGGUAGGUCAGUAUGCCCCGAAUGAGCUGGGCAACACGCGGGCUACAAUGGUCGAGACAAUGGGAUGCAACUCCGAGAGGAGGCGCUAAUCUCCUAAACUCGAUCGUAGUUCGGAUUGAGGGCUGAAACUCGCCCUCAUGAAGCUGGAUUCGGUAGUAAUCGCGUGUCAGAAGCGCGCGGUGAAUACGUCCCUGCUCCUU
This 1008-nucleotide ribosomal RNA is filed under the name uncultured haloarchaeon. Its description in RNAcentral is "bacterial SSU rRNA". It matches the Rfam family "Archaeal small subunit ribosomal RNA", at positions 335 to 1338 of the family's 1478-position model. The record is from RNAcentral. Lineage: Archaea; Methanobacteriati; Methanobacteriota; Halobacteria; Halobacteriales; Halobacteriaceae.